CGAUGUUCAAAUAACAUCGUUAUGUGUAGGCUUACCCGUUAAAGAAGUUAAUCACCUAUAGACACGGCGACACAGUGCCAUACAGAAAGGUUCUCUAAUGUAUGUAAUCUAACGUUCACCAGCGUGAUCAUUCUGAAUCCACGGGAAUACUGAGUAUUAAUCGUGAUUUUUCAUAAAGCCAGGCCUGCAUACAUUCUGGAUUCAUACAGUACUUAUUUCAUGUUUGCUUAUUGUUACUGGUGAAAAGGAGACAGUUGAGACUAUCCAUCACCAUGGGAAUGCCCCGGUGACCUCUAAGGAAGUGAGUGGCAGAGCACCAACAUGGAAAGGAAUGGAGUAGCCUGGAAAAAGUUCCAGGAAGACUCAUUUGAUCUAAAGCAACUAAAAGAAACCACAGAUGCAUCAGAGAGCCCAAUCAGGAUGCAGUAGAUUAAACCCUCUCCCAUGUGCUGCCCUCCCCCUGCUCUUUCAGUAGCUGCCCACUACAAUCGUGUGUUGCACCAGACCUCUCAGAAUAUGUGUUCAUUAGCUGUUUAGCCUCCAGUCAUUUUCCACUUGUUUCCCAAAGCUGGAUCGCAUUAUGCCA
Molecule: long non-coding RNA, 586 nt
Organism: Esox lucius (northern pike)
Lineage: Eukaryota; Metazoa; Chordata; Actinopteri; Esociformes; Esocidae
Source: Ensembl